AGCUCCAAUAGCGUAUAUUAAUGUUGUUGCAGUUAAAAAGCUCGUAGUUGGAUUCCUGACCUGGGGUAGCCGGUCCGCCUUGCAAAAGGUGCGCACUGAGCGGCCUCGGUCAUCCUUGAGAAGAGCGGUCCUGGCAUUCAGUUGUCGGGGUCGGGAUUCUCGACGUUUACUGUGAAAAAAUCAGAGUGUUCAACGCAGGCUUACGCCUUGAAUACAUUAGCAUGGAAUAAUGAGAUAGGACCUUGGCGGUCUAUUUUGUUGGUUUGCACGCCGAGGUAAUGAUUAAAAGGGACGGUUGGGGUUCUUCGUAUUCAAUUGUCAGAGGUGAAAUUCUUGGAUUUAUGGAAGACGAACUGCUGCGAAAGCGUCGAACAAGGACGUUCUCA
RNAcentral lists this ribosomal RNA (386 nucleotides) under uncultured eukaryote. Its description in RNAcentral is "SSU rRNA". It matches the Rfam family "Eukaryotic small subunit ribosomal RNA", at positions 587 to 972 of the family's 1831-position model. The record is from RNAcentral.